This 650-nucleotide ribosomal RNA is filed under the name uncultured Azovibrio sp. RNAcentral describes it as "bacterial SSU rRNA". It matches the Rfam family "Bacterial small subunit ribosomal RNA", at positions 831 to 1482 of the family's 1533-position model. Lineage: Bacteria; Pseudomonadati; Pseudomonadota; Betaproteobacteria; Rhodocyclales; Rhodocyclaceae. The record is from RNAcentral.
UAAAACCUAUUAGUAACGGAGCUAACGCGUGAAGUUGACCGCCUGGGGAGUACGGCCGCAAGGUUAAAACUCAAAGGAAUUGACGGGGACCCGCACAAGCGGUGGAUGAUGUGGAUUAAUUCGAUGCAACGCGAAAAACCUUACCUACCCUUGACAUGUCCAGAAGCCUUGAGAGAUUGAGGUGUGCCUUCGGGAACUGGAACACAGGUGCUGCAUGGCUGUCGUCAGCUCGUGUCGUGAGAUGUUGGGUUAAGUCCCGCAACGAGCGCAACCCUUGUCAUUAGUUGCCAUCAUUUAGUUGGGCACUCUAAUGAGACUGCCGGUGACAAACCGGAGGAAGGUGGGGAUGACGUCAAGUCCUCAUGGCCCUUAUGGGUAGGGCUUCACACGUCAUACAAUGGUCGGUACAGAGGGUUGCCGAGCCGCGAGGUGGAGCUAAUCUCAGAAAGCCGAUCGUAGUCCGGAUCGCAGUCUGCAACUCGACUGCGUGAAGUCGGAAUCGCUAGUAAUCGCGGAUCAGCAUGUCGCGGUGAAUACGUUCCCGGGUCUUGUACACACCGCCCGUCACACCAUGGGAGUGGGUUCCACCAGGAGUAGGUAGCCUAACCGUAAGGGGGGCGCUUACCACGGUGGGGUUCAUGACUGGGGUG